This 981-nucleotide ribosomal RNA is filed under the name Triticum aestivum (bread wheat). Its description in RNAcentral is "partial small subunit ribosomal RNA". Lineage: Eukaryota; Viridiplantae; Streptophyta; Magnoliopsida; Poales; Poaceae. The record is from RNAcentral.
AUGGAAAAUUGCAUUGAUGACUUCAUCCGCCAAUUCGGGGGUGAGGAUGUUGAGGUAGGUUUUUUCUGGGAGGCUGCUGAACUUCACAAGAGGUUGUGCGAGCUUCAUCAGAUUUCCAACCAGGUGGAAGAGCUUAGGACUCUUGCGGUAGAAGCAAAUGCUCGACGAGAGAGUUACAAGAUUGAUGAUUGCAAGCCUAGCUUUGGCCCUGUGGCUGUUGACACUCGUUUGCGAGCGGUCUACCAGGAGGCGGCCAACCUUGUGGGCAUUGAAGGCCCUAGAGAAGAGGUUAUUAGUUGGUUGAUGAAUACUCAGAAAAAACUAAAGGUUGUGUCCAUUGUUGGUUUUGGAGGCCUGGGUAAAACUACACUUGCCAAACAGGUGUUUGACAAGAUCAAAGGGCAUUUUGUUUGUGUGGCAUUCUUUUCAGUUUCGCAGAGGCCUGAUUUGAGAGUGCUUCUCAAUCGCCUACAACUGAAACUUGGGAUAAAUGUAUCUUCUCACGAUUGCGGGUUUGACGACAUCAUUGAAGAGCUAAGGAAGUAUCUCAUAGAUAAAAGGUACCUUAUUGUAGUUGAUGACUUGUGGGAUCAAUCAGCAUGGAAUACUAUUAGUUGUGCUUUUCCAGAAAAUGGAAAUGGGAGUAGAAUAAUUGUAACCACACGAGUGGAAGAUGUGGCUGGCAUGGCCUGUCAUAAUAACCGUGAGUGCAUUUACGCAAUGAAGCCCCUCAGUGAUCAGAACUCAAGAAUGUUAUUCUCAAAUAGAGUAUUUGGGUCUGAAGUUGUUUGUCCACCCCAUCUUAAAGAUGUUGCGGCUGAAAUUCUGAAGAAGUGUGGUGGUAUGCCGCUCGCAAUUAUCACUAUAGCUAGCCUAUUAGCUACUCAAGUGAAAUCAAGGAAACACUGGGCGAGCAUAAGGAAAUCUCUGGGUGCCCAACCUGCCACAAAUCCUUCAUUGGAAGAGAUAAAAAAAUAUUAA